GAUGAACGCUGGCGGCGUGCCUAAUACAUGCAAGUCGAGCGAACAGACGAGGAGCUUGCUCCUUCGACGUUAGCGGCGGACGGGUGAGUAACACGUAGGUAACCUACCUAUAAGACUGGGAUAACUUCGGGAAACCGGAGCUAAUACCGGAUAAUAUUUCGAACCGCAUGGUUCGAUAGUGAAAGAUGGCUUUGCUAUCACUUAUAGGUGGACCUGCGCCGUAUUAGCUAGUUGGUAAGGUAACGGCUUACCAAGGCAACGAUACGUAGCCGACCUGAGAGGGUGAUCGGCCACACUGGAACUGAGACACGGUCCAGACUCCUACGGGAGGCAGCAGUAGGGAAUCUUCCGCAAAGGGCGAAAGCCUGACGGAGCAACGCCGCGUGAGUGAUGAAGGUCUUCGGAUCGUAAAACUCUGUUAUUAGGGAAGAACAAACGUGUAAGUAACUGUGCACGUCUUGACGGUACCUAAUCAGAAAGCCACGGCUAACUACGUG
Molecule: ribosomal RNA, 497 nt
Filed under: uncultured bacterium
Lineage: Bacteria
Description: partial 16S ribosomal RNA
Rfam family: Bacterial small subunit ribosomal RNA
Source: RNAcentral